GGGAGGCGUGCCAGAGCGGCCGAAUGGGACUCACUGCUAAUGAGUUGUCCCCUUUACGGGGGACCGGAGGUUCAAAUCCUCUCGCCUCCGCAACGGCCGGGCUUGCUCGACCGACAACUGAAGACCGGCGCCCGUAGCUCAACGGAUAGAGCAUCUGACUACGGAUCAGAAGGUUGGGGGUUCGAAUCCCUUCGGGCGCACUGUGGAUACAGAAAAGCUCCGGCUCAGGCCGGGGCUUUUUCUGUUUUCUGGGUCCGGACAACCCCACCCCAUGCACAAUUAGGUUAGCCUUACCUACUGACGGGGUGGUGCGUUUGGGUUGCCGCCCGUGGUUGACAAGGACGGCGGUGAAACGCCGUAGGAGGUAACCGGCUAUGGCUGCGCGUGUUGGGUUGGGCGAUCUCGAACGCACCGUCAUGGAGUGCCUGUGGUCGGCGUCGGGUUCGUUGACCGUCCGUGAGGUGCACUCAUCGGUGUCGGUCAAGCGAAACCUCGCCUAUACGACGAUCAUGACUGUGCUGCAACGCCUUGCGAAGAAGAACCUGGUGAUCCAGCGCCGUGACCAUCGCGCGCACCGCUAUGUGCCCAGGCGUGGCCGUGCCGAGUUGGUCGCUGAGCUCAUGUCCGAUGCGCUCGAUCAGGUGGCCGAUUCC
This 653-nucleotide transfer RNA is filed under the name Mycobacterium minnesotense. Its description in RNAcentral is "Mycolicibacter minnesotensis transfer-messenger RNA". The stretch from base 128 to 200 matches the Rfam family "tRNA". The record is from RNAcentral. Lineage: Bacteria; Bacillati; Actinomycetota; Actinomycetes; Mycobacteriales; Mycobacteriaceae.